AGAGUUUGAUCCUGGCUCAGGACGAACGCUGGCGGCGUGCUUUAGGCAUGCAAGUGGAACGAACUAAUUUCGGUUAGUGAGUCGCGAACGGCUGAGUAACACGUAGGAAUCUACCCCUUGGUGGAGAAUACCUAUUCGAAAGAAUAGUUAAUACUGCAUAAGAUCCAAGGAUGAAAGGGCGUAACUGCCCGCCGAGGGAGGAGCCUGCGGCCCAUCAGCUUGUUGGUAGGGUAAUGGCCUACCAAGGCUACGACGGGUAGGGGGCGUGAGAGCGUGUUCCCCCAGAAAGGCACUGAGAUACGGGCCUUACACCUACGGGUGGCAGCAACCGGGAAUCGUGCGCAAUGGACGAAAGUCUGACGCCGCGGCGCCGCGUGAGGGAUGACGGCCUUAGGGUUGUAAACCUCUUUUACCAGAAGGGAGACCGACUGGAGAAUAAGCACCCGCUAACUACGUGCCAGCAGCUGCGGUAAUACGUAGGGUGCGAGCGUUGUCCGGAUUUAUUGGGCGUAAAGAGUUCGUAGGCUUUUUGAUAAGUUAUGUUUCAAAGACCGGGGCUUAACCUCGGAAAGGGGCAUAAUACUGUCAAAAUUGAAGAAUGUUGGGGUUACUGGAAUUGUCGGUGUAGGGGUGAAAUCCGUUGAUAUCGACAAGAACAGCAAGGGCGAAGGCGGGUAACUGGGCAUUUCUUGACGCUGAGGAACGAAAGCUAGGGUAGCGAAAGCGAUUAGAGACCGCUGUAGUCCUAGCCGUAAACGAUGCUCGCUAGGGAUGGGGGAUUUAUCUUCUGUCUCGCAAGCUAACGCGUUAAGCGAGCCGCCUGGGGAGUACGGUCGCAAGACUAAAACUCAAAUGAAUUGACGG
RNAcentral lists this ribosomal RNA (864 nucleotides) under uncultured bacterium. RNAcentral describes it as "bacterial SSU rRNA". It matches the Rfam family "Bacterial small subunit ribosomal RNA", at positions 8 to 916 of the family's 1533-position model. The record is from RNAcentral.